GAAAUGUGCCAAGAACAUGACACCUACACCUGCCCUCUCUGUCUUAGGUGUUUAUGUCAUCUUACUUCUGUUCAUGUUAAAGUAUGAGUUUAGAGAGUGAUUUACAAGCGCUGAUGGAUGAUGUUGUAACAUGAUUUGUAUGCUGGGGCGAAAGGACAACGGUGGAUUGGAGGCAGAAAAACAGUCACUCGCCAUUCCUGUUCACUCAGUCGCCGGUGAAAGAUGAGCAAUGAGAAGGCAGGGAGGGGGAUGGAGUGAUGGAAACGGUAGAUGAGAGAUAAGAAGAGCGAAGGGAAGAGAGACCUGCUUGGUAUUCACCUGUCUCUCCGGAUCAAUAAAGGUAAUUUGGGCUGAUUCCUCCCCGUAGGCCUCUUAGCAGACAGAAGGGGAGAGGGGUCAGCCACUGCUGAGCUGCGGGGAGCUGGAAUAACUUAGAAACACACUCUGCAAAUUACUGCCCCUGUUUGAGAAUCUCUCAUUCAGCUAUGCCUCUGCCUUGAUAAGAGAUACAGUGUGAUGCAGAGUCCUCACACAAAUAUGACUGGAACUAGGAAACAGUACACAGCCCUGUAG
This is a long non-coding RNA of Lates calcarifer (barramundi perch), 573 nucleotides long. RefSeq lists it as uncharacterized. The record is from RefSeq and is a predicted model, not a curated record. The transcript is spliced from 3 exons. Lineage: Eukaryota; Metazoa; Chordata; Actinopteri; Centropomidae.